AAAAAGUAGUUAUUCUGUUCAUGAUAUAUAUAGGAAAGUCAUUGGUUGUAGCAUUCAAAUUCUUAAUAUAAUAAUAAUACAAAAGAACAAUUCAGACAUUUAUUCUGUCUACGUAUUUCGUGUGUAUUUUUUGACAGUCAAGAAAUGGCGCUUACAAUCAAUUCUUAUCCUAUCUUCAUCUUUCCUUUACUUUCUAUCUUUUUUUUUAUAUCUAUACUGCAACUUAUCACAGAUGAAACAUGGAUAAAAACCUGACAAAACAUUAUAUUUUGAUAUAUGAAGCAAUAUGUUAUAUGACAUUGAAAAUAUGUGACAAUGUAAUAUUUCCGAAACAAGGGAUAAAAAUGCAUUGAAUGUUAAUAUUCUUGUCAGUAAGAUAUUAUUGCAUUAUAUACAAACCUCUCAGUGGGAAAUGUUGUAAAGUAAAAUUUUUUUAUUGUAUAGGUAAGUGUACUUAUACAUAUAUUAUAACGAAGAAUAAUUAUAUAUCUUAUUAGAUAUUUAGAUUAGAUUAAUUAUAUACAGAUUUAUUUCGUUACAAUUGUAUCAUUUAUUAUGGUAUUAUUAUGCUAUAUACAGUAUAGUAGUAUUUUUGAAAAAUUCAAGAUUAUUGAUAUACAUACAUUAAUUUAUGAUAAUGAUGUGUUGAUGUACUGAAUAAGAUUAUUAUAUGUAAUAGUUUAUUUUAAAUAUAUUUGUGAAAAUAUGAUACAUAUUGUAUGAAGAAAUUUUCAUGUAAAUAUUAAAAAAUACAGAUAUUGUAAUUAUAUUUGUUGGGAUCAUACUUUGGACGGAAAUAACAUUUUUUGGAUAAACAAUUACGUUUGGGAAGACUAGGGGAACAUUUGUAGCUUUUUUUUCUUAUUU
Molecule: long non-coding RNA, 867 nt
Organism: Apis florea (little honeybee)
Lineage: Eukaryota; Metazoa; Arthropoda; Insecta; Hymenoptera; Apidae
Source: RefSeq, a predicted model, not a curated record